Cricetulus griseus (Chinese hamster) is the source of this 80-nucleotide microRNA precursor. Lineage: Eukaryota; Metazoa; Chordata; Mammalia; Rodentia; Cricetidae. The record is from Ensembl.
UCAGCCUGUGGUACUCAAACUAUGGGGGCAAUUUUUGAGCUGGAAUGAAGUGCUGCCAAGUUUUGAGCGCUGCUGUUUGA